Hydnomerulius pinastri MD-312 is the source of this 74-nucleotide transfer RNA. It matches the Rfam family "tRNA". Rfam says of the family: Transfer RNA (tRNA) molecules are approximately 80 nucleotides in length. Lineage: Eukaryota; Fungi; Basidiomycota; Agaricomycetes; Boletales. The record is from Rfam.
GGUGUCAUGGCAGAGUGGUUAUUGCGGAGUACUGUUAAUACUUUUUUUCAGAGGUUCAAUUCCUCUUGACGCCU